ACACCAUAGAACUGCAAAUGUC
This 22-nucleotide non-coding RNA is filed under the name Zea mays. Lineage: Eukaryota; Viridiplantae; Streptophyta; Magnoliopsida; Poales; Poaceae. The record is from RNAcentral.